This is a non-coding RNA of Halomicronema hongdechloris C2206, 388 nucleotides long. The record is from Rfam. Lineage: Bacteria; Bacillati; Cyanobacteriota; Cyanophyceae; Nodosilineales; Nodosilineaceae.
GGGGCUGUCAUGGUUUCGACGUUCUGAGGAAAGUCGCUUUGUGAUACAGGCCGAGAGGGAGUCCACUCUCGUUAAUCAAGGCUCAACCAAACGUAAGUGCGAACAACAUCGUUCCUUUUGCUCGCAAGGCUGCUCCCGUAGCUGCCUAGCAUCUAACUAGAUCGCGAGCGUCUACGGUCUGACUCCGUUAAGGGCUGUGGACCAAACCCCAACGGAUGCGUCAACUAGUCUUCUCUAGUGGACUGGUUGACUAAGACUCAACUAGAGCAUCCCACCGUCAGGGAUAAUUGAUGGUUCCCGCCUUGAGGAUUAGAUAGGCUAUGCCUGUGAACGAGCGAAGUGUUACUACUCAGAGCGGACACGGGUUCGACUCCCGUCAGCUCCAUUU